Long non-coding RNA from Pan troglodytes (chimpanzee), 1592 nucleotides. RefSeq lists it as uncharacterized. The transcript has 2 exons. Lineage: Eukaryota; Metazoa; Chordata; Mammalia; Primates; Hominidae. The record is from RefSeq and is a predicted model, not a curated record.
UGCAGGACAUAAGAGCAGAGGAUGGCAUUGACAUCCCUCAGUGACGUCACUGUGCUAGCAGCUGUUCCUCUUUUGAGCCGUUUUAUAGCCGAGCAUCUCCACCAGAAGAGCGGAUAGGAAAAAGGAAAAGAGAGGAGGAUUUGACCUUGGUAUCUUGCUUCAUUUCCUUCUCUGACAAAAAUUUGGUGAAAAGGUUAAAAUAAGUGUUCGAAUUCUCUCUGACUUGUCAUAUUCUGUCUAUGCCCUGUGUGCCUGCCUCUGAUCCUGAGGAAGUGUAGAAAUGAGGGGAUGACACUGGCAGAAUAAUAAAAAUGGGCAAAGUUGUAGGGCACCCCUGCUCCAGGUCCCACACACCCCAGCUCCAGAGCCUCAGGAUCUUUCCCAGCCAUGUGCCAGACAAUAUUGUAAAAUGAUUUUUCGUAGCCACACCUUUUAUUACACACAUACUCGAUGAAUCUAAAUACUGUGCUAAGAGCUGUGUGGAUGUACACCUGUAAACCAAGUCACAGACCCUGCCCACAAGCAAUUUGCCGUCAGUUAGGGGAGCCAUCAGUAGCAUCUAGGGAUCCAUUAGAGGGAAAAGAGGGAGCUGAGGGAGAGGCUAGGAGCCCAAGCAAACCUGCACUUCUGCUCCUAGAGGGAACCUGAGAGUGAAACUCAUGGGUUUGGAAACUUCUGUGGAAUUAGCUGCUUGCAAGAAAUGAUUUUGUCUGGUUUUAGAAACUACGAUGGAACACUAAUAUAUUCCUGUAAUUGACUGGCAAGUUUUAACACUUACUGCAAUUUAUUUUUGUUGUAAGCCCAACCCAAGAAUUCUUCCUUUAAAAAAAAUUUCAGAUUGACAAAUGACUGCUUCUUUAGAAAUCCUCCUUACUAAAAUUACUCCUCAUUUCUUUUUCUUUCAUAUUCAAAGGGAACAAACGUUCAAACACACAAAUAAACACUGCUCUUUGCCAGAGUGGUGGACUCUGGCCUCCCCACCCCCAGCACUCCCAGUCUUGCCCUCCUGCAAACACUAGACUUAAUUUUCUCUGCGCUGAGGGCCCUCCUCGAGUCAGAGUGAGAGGAAACAGAAGGGAGAAGCUGCGAGAUGUGGCAACAAAGGGGACGGUGAUCAGGUUUAUCCCUGAUGUUGUCUGUGAAGGUGUUCCAUUCUCCAGAGAUCUCAUCAAAUGGUAUAAGUGAUGUGCAGAUAAGCCUGUGGUUCCCUUCACUCAUCAGAUCAGAGCCUCAGAAUUCUCAGAAACCAUUUUUUUCCUAACAUAAAACUCCUUUUCUCAUUUCUAUCCCUCUGUAAAUCUGAUUUGAAAAAAUUGUUUGAACAAACCCACAAUGUCAGAUUUGUUCCAGCUAUAUGAGCUCACAAUUCAUCUACUCUUGGUAGUUCAAGAUAAAAGAUUACCCAAAGAAAAGGAAGAAAUUGAGUAAAGCCACAACUGUAAUAGUGUCCCAGAUUGGGUAAAAGGCCAUUAAUAAAUAGCGUGAAUUGUAGAACUGUUUAAAGCAGCAUAUUUUUAAAACAGGCAUAUAAAGAAUCCACUUUAUGCCUGGAAUUGUACAAAAAUACUUUAAAUAAAUGUUUACAUAUAUAA